This 379-nucleotide ribosomal RNA is filed under the name uncultured eukaryote. RNAcentral's name for it is "partial 18S ribosomal RNA". It matches the Rfam family "Eukaryotic small subunit ribosomal RNA", at positions 592 to 975 of the family's 1831-position model. The record is from RNAcentral.
CAAUAGCGUAUAUUAAAGUUGUUGCGGUUAAAAAGCUCGUAGUUGGAUUUCUGCUGAGAACGACCGGUCCGCCCUUUGGGUGUGUAUCUGGCUCUUUCUUGGCAUCUUCUUGGUGAACGUUGCUGCACUUGACUGUGUGGAGCGCUACCCAGGACUUUUACUUUGAGGAAAUUAGAGUGUUUCAAGCAGGCAUACGCCUUGAAUACAUUAGCAUGGAAUAAUAAGAUAGGACCUCGGUUCUAUUUUGUUGGUUUCUAGAGCUGAGGUAAUGAUUAAUAGGGAUAGUUGGGGGCAUUCGUAUUUAACUGUCAGAGGUGAAAUUCUUGGAUUUGUCAAAGACGGACUACUGCGAAAGCAUUUGCCAAGGAUGUUUUCAUUG